This is a long non-coding RNA of Monodelphis domestica (gray short-tailed opossum), 889 nucleotides long. RefSeq lists it as uncharacterized. NCBI's taxonomy places the organism in Eukaryota, Metazoa, Chordata, Mammalia, Didelphimorphia, Didelphidae. The record is from RefSeq and is a predicted model, not a curated record.
AGAACUGCGCAGCGUAGGGAAGACGAAAGGGAAGCGUGCGCCUAGUCACGCGUCGCUCUUGCUCGCGUCUUCCACUGCGCGUCGGGGUUGUGGCAUUCAACGGUUUUAACGGCCGCCAGCCGUUCUGCGUCCCCGCUCCCUCGACGCCGCCUCCUACCCGCGCCUCUCGGCCGCGUCUGUGAAUCAUUACAUUCCUAAGAGAAGAGACUUGAUCCCUUUCCCCGGGGCGCCCCUCCUCCGUCCCCUGCGCCUCUGGCCGAGGACGGGGCCCGGGGGCUCCACUCGAAACCGAAGUGGGAGUCAGGUAACCCAAAGAACUUGUGGCGGGCAAGCUGGCUGAUGGAGCCAUUUAACAAACCUUCCCAACAGUUGACCGAGAUGGCAUGCACAGCAUUUUAUUUGGGGCGUUCUGUUACAGUGAGGCGCAGUCAGUCUGGAAUAGUCAAAUAAAGAAGAGUUGGAUCAAACUGCUUCCUGCCAUCCAUCCACUGCCUAUGUAUCAGUUUAACCACUGAUAUGAUCUUCAAUGGCUGCAAGUCUUCACUGGGGGAAGAAUAUCAAGAAACUAGCACUUUUGUGCAGGCCAGGACGAAGUGCAAAGUCAGAUUUGUUGCUGGCAGAUAUGCAUAAUAAAAGAAGAGAGACAUUGCCACUUACAGUCUUCAUCAGCAAGAAAGAAGGACUCAAGUGUUCUUUCUGGAAGUGGAGGAGGAGGGGAUGAAGAACGAUCCUGAUGUAUCUCUGAGAUGAAGAAAGAACAAAAAAGUGUUUUAAUUAAAAAUUCUGUCUUAGUUUAAAUCAUUUAAAUCCUAGAUGAACAUGAUUUAUUAUAGUUAGGGCAACAAUUUGCAACUCAUAGAUAAUAAAUAUUUGUUCAUAAGAUAUUAAA